CUUGCUGGUUGUGGUGUUGUCAGUUUCAUAUUAAAUCUGUCAGCUCCAUGUCUGGUGAGUC
This 61-nucleotide microRNA precursor is filed under the name Xenoturbella bocki. Its description in RNAcentral is "Xbo-Mir-22-P2d_pre stem-loop". The record is from RNAcentral. Lineage: Eukaryota; Metazoa; Xenacoelomorpha; Xenoturbellidae.